Molecule: ribosomal RNA, 101 nt
Filed under: Pogona vitticeps (central bearded dragon)
Lineage: Eukaryota; Metazoa; Chordata; Lepidosauria; Squamata; Agamidae
Source: RNAcentral
UUCCUCUAUAACCAGGGUCUCAUUUGACAUCAGAAGCUAAGCAGGGUUGAGCCUGGAAGAUCCAUGGAUGGGAGACCACCAGGGAAUACAAGGUGAGGAAA